CGCGGCCUAUCAGCUUGUUGGCGGGGUAACGGCCCACCAAGGCAACGACGGGUAGCUGGUUUGAGAGAACGAUCAGCCACACUGGAACUGAGACACGGUCCAGACUUCUACGGAAGGCAGCAGUAGGGAAUCUUGCGCAAUGGGCGAAAGCCUGACGCAGCGACGCCGCGUGCGGGAUGACGGCCCUAGUGGUUGUAAACCGCUUUCAGCAGGGACGAAAAUGACGGUACCUGCAGAAGAAGUCCCGGCUAACUACGUGCCAGCAGCCGCGGUAAUACGUAGGGGACAAGCGUUGUCCGGAUUCAUUGGGCGUAAAGAGCUCGUAGGCGGUUCAGUAAGUUGGGUGUGAAAGCUCCGGGCUCAACCCGGAGAGGCCACUCAAUACUGCUGUGACUAGAGUCCAGUAGAGGAGCGUGGAACUCCUGGUGUAGCGGUGAAAUGCGCAGAUAUCAGGAAGAACACCGGCAGCGAAGGCGGCGCUCUGGGCUGGUACUGACGCUGAGGAGCGAAAGCAUGGGUAGCAAACAGGAUUAGAUACCCUGGUAGUCCAUGCCGUAAACGUUGGGCACUAUGUGUGGGGAGGAAUCAACCCUCUCCGUGCCGUAGCUAACGCAUUAAGUGCCCCGCCUGGGGAGUACGG
Molecule: ribosomal RNA, 640 nt
Filed under: uncultured bacterium
Lineage: Bacteria
Description: bacterial SSU rRNA
Rfam family: Bacterial small subunit ribosomal RNA
Source: RNAcentral